CGUGCCUACGGGGGGCAGCAGUAGGGAAUUUUCGUCAAUGGGCGCAAGCCUGAACGAGCGAUGCCGCGUGAGUGAAGAAGGCCUUCGGGUCGUAAAGCUCUGUUGCGGGGAAAAAAGGCAGCAUCAGGAAAUGGGUGCUGACUGAUGGUGCCCCGCCAGAAAGUCACGGCUAACUACGUGCCAGCAGCCGCGGUAAUACGUAGGUGGCGAGCGUUAUCCGGAAUGAUUGGGCGUAAAGGGUGCGCAGGCGGUCCUGCAAGGCUGGAGUGAAAAGAAGGAGCUAAAC
RNAcentral lists this ribosomal RNA (286 nucleotides) under uncultured bacterium. RNAcentral's name for it is "partial 16S ribosomal RNA". It matches the Rfam family "Bacterial small subunit ribosomal RNA", at positions 334 to 613 of the family's 1533-position model. The record is from RNAcentral.